GAAGGAGCCUGAGAAACGGCUACUACAACUACGGUUCGGCAGCAGGGAAGAAAAUUGGCCAAUCCUAAUUCAGGGAGCCAGUGACAAGAAAUAGCAAGCUGGGAAACCUAGUUUCUACGGCAUUGAAAUGAGAAAAGUGUUAAUCUCUUAGCGAGGAACAAUUGGAGGGCAAGUCAUGGUGCCAGCAGCCGCGGUAAUUCCAGCUCCAAUAGCGUAUAUUAAAGUUGUUGCAGUUAAAAAGCUCGUAGUUGAACUUCUGUUCAGGUUUAUAACGACUCGUCGUGUAAAACUGGACAUACGUUUGCAAACUAAAAUCGGCCUUCACUGGUUCGACUUAGGGAGUAAACAUUUUACUGUGAAAAAAUUAGAGUGUUCCAGGCAGGUUUUAGCCCGAAUACAUUAGCAUGGAAUAAUGGAAUAGGACUAAGUCCAUUUUAUUGGUUCUUGGAUUUGGUAAUGAUUAAUAGGGACAGUUGGGGGCAUUAGUAUUUAAUAGUCAGAGGUGAAAUUCUUGGAUUUAUUAAGGACUAACUAAUGCGAAAGCAUUUUGCCAAA
Molecule: ribosomal RNA, 555 nt
Filed under: Tetrahymena sp.
Lineage: Eukaryota; Ciliophora; Oligohymenophorea; Hymenostomatida; Tetrahymenidae
Description: SSU rRNA
Rfam family: Eukaryotic small subunit ribosomal RNA
Source: RNAcentral